CUGAGGUUCUAGGAGCUGUGCAUGUUGAAAGAGCUGCAUGCUGAGGAAGAGUUGCAAAGUGAAGUGGGGCAUAGGCUCUGUGGGUUUUGCUUUGAUGGAGUGGUCUUGGCAAGAGAUCCUGUGAAUGGUGCCGCACCCCCUUAAUCCCAGCGCUUGGGAAGCAGAAGCAGAUCUGUGACUUCAAGGCCAGCCUGGUCUACAGCAUGAGUUCCAGCCAAGCAAAAGCUACAUGGUGGAGAAGUAAGAGACAAGGAAGGCCACUGGGGAUGAAAGACCAGCUCCCUGGUCAAGGAACAAGACAUGAAUAAGACUUGGGAGACCACGGUGUCUCUUGUAACCUGCGGCAUAUCCUGUUUCCUGCAUUCCUCAUGUGACCAUCAGGGCCCUGGCUUCUUGGCCUUCUCUGUGACCAGAAAUCACCUGUCCAUAACAGAAUCUGUCUACCAUCACCAUCUUUUCAGUUGACAAGAAAGUCAAUGGAGCAAUUUUAGACAGACAAGCCACCCAGUGCCACCAUCAGAAUGUCAGGUUUGCAACCUGUAAAACGCAAAUGCCCACUUCUUCACCAGCCCCCAAGCCCCUCCACACUCCACCUCUGGCUCAGUUUGUCUUUGGGGGACUAGCUCACUGUGGGACCUAAUUAAUGAGUUCUUCUCUGUCAGAGUACAACCACUCCAGCCCUUGUGCUAUCCAGGUAGCUCUCCUCUGUUGAGUCAAUGCUUGCCUUGAGUUCACUCAGAUUUCAACAUUGGCUACACUGUCUCGAAGAUCUGACAUCUUUAUUCAGACAUGAGUCAAUCAUGAAGAGGGGAUGGAAACAGAAGUCCUUCCAGGAAGAAAACUAUCUGGAUAGAAAUUGUUCCAUUUGAUGACUGCAGUAGAAGAUGAGGCUCGGAGAGCCUGGGCAGGGAAACAGGAGGAGAAGGAGGGGAGGAGACCAGAGAAGUAGUGAAUACUUUAUCCUCUAACCUUCCCUUUCCUUUCUCCCCUUUCUCUCCAUGCAGUAGGCAAAAUCCUCAUUGUUUCCUGUAGUCUGUGACAUCUUGGGGUCAUUGGGGGACCAAGUUCUUUGAUGUGUCUUGAAGUGAUGUAGCCAAGAAGAAACAGUGAGUUUGAGUCCCAGCAACCACACUGUGGCUCACAACCACCUAUAAUGAGAUCUGGUGCCCUCUUCUGGCCUGCAUAUGUACCUUCCAGAGACCAUGCAGAGUUAGGAUUUGGACUAAGUGCAGUCAGAUUGG
Molecule: long non-coding RNA, 1241 nt
Filed under: Cricetulus griseus (Chinese hamster)
Lineage: Eukaryota; Metazoa; Chordata; Mammalia; Rodentia; Cricetidae
Description: lncRNA (ENSCGRG00015039541.1)
Source: RNAcentral